Molecule: non-coding RNA, 26 nt
Filed under: Cricetulus griseus (Chinese hamster)
Lineage: Eukaryota; Metazoa; Chordata; Mammalia; Rodentia; Cricetidae
Source: RNAcentral
GACAAAGCUGUCAAGGAUCUGGUGGU